This 96-nucleotide non-coding RNA is filed under the name human gut metagenome. RNAcentral's name for it is "SAM riboswitch (S box leader)". It matches the Rfam family "SAM riboswitch aptamer (S box leader)". From Rfam's summary of the family: The SAM riboswitch is found upstream of a number of genes which code for proteins involved in methionine or cysteine biosynthesis in Gram-positive bacteria. The SAM riboswitch acts at the level of transcription termination control. The predicted structure consists of a complex stem-loop region followed by a single stem loop terminator region. The record is from RNAcentral.
CUUAUCAAGAGCGACGGAGGGAACAGGCCCGAUGAUGUCCAGCAACCUGCCGAGUGGCAAGGUGCUAAAUCCUGCGGUGGAAACCGGAAGAUGAGG